UACGGCCGCAAGGUUAAAACUCAAAUGAAUUGACGGGGGCCCGCACAAGCGGUGGAGCAUGUGGUUUAAUUCGAUGCAACGCGAAGAACCUUACCUGGUCUUGACAUCCACAGAACUUUCCAGAGAUGGAUUGGUGCCUUCGGGAACUGUGAGACAGGUGCUGCAUGGCUGUCGUCAGCUCGUGUUGUGAAAUGUUGGGUUAAGUCCCGCAACGAGCGCAACCCUUAUCCUUUGUUGCCAGCGGUCCGGCCGGGAACUCAAAGGAGACUGCCAGUGAUAAACUGGAGGAAGGUGGGGAUGACGUCAAGUCAUCAUGGCCCUUACGACCAGGGCUACACACGUGCUACAAUGGCGCAUACAAAGAGAAGCGACCUCGCGAGAGUAAGCGGACCUCAUAAAGUGCGUCGUAGUCCGGAUUGGAGUCUGCAACUCGACUCCAUGAAGUCGGAAUCGCUAGUAAUCGUGGAUCAGAAUGCCACGGUGAAUACGUUCCCGGGCCUUGUACACACCGCCCGUCACACCAUGGGAGUGGGUUGCAAAAGAAGUAGGUAGCUUAACCUUCGGGGGGGCGCUUACCACUUUGUGAUUCAUGACUGGGGUGAAGUCGUAACAAGGUAACCGUAGGGGAACCUGCGGUUGGAUCACCUCCUUA
This 652-nucleotide ribosomal RNA is filed under the name Salmonella enterica. RNAcentral's name for it is "bacterial SSU rRNA". It matches the Rfam family "Bacterial small subunit ribosomal RNA", at positions 881 to 1533 of the family's 1533-position model. Lineage: Bacteria; Pseudomonadati; Pseudomonadota; Gammaproteobacteria; Enterobacterales; Enterobacteriaceae. RNAcentral also lists the same sequence under 1 other name. The record is from RNAcentral.